This 450-nucleotide ribosomal RNA is filed under the name uncultured bacterium. Its description in RNAcentral is "bacterial SSU rRNA". It matches the Rfam family "Bacterial small subunit ribosomal RNA", at positions 354 to 796 of the family's 1533-position model. The record is from RNAcentral.
GUGGGGAAUUUUGGACAAUGGGCGCAAGCCUGAUCCAGCAAUGCCGCGUGCAGGAAGAAGGCCUUCGGGUUGUAAACUGCUUUUGUACGGAACGAAACGGUCCUGGUUAAUACCUCGGAGGGAUGACGGUACCUGAAGAAUAAGCACCGGCUAACUACGUGCCAGCAGCCGCGGUAAUACGUAGGGUGCGAGCGUUAAUCGGAAUUACUGGGCGUAAAGCGUGCGCAGGCGGUUUUGUAAGAUCGAUGUGAAAUCCCCGGGCUCAACCUGGGAACUGCGUUGGUGACUGCAAGGCUGGAGUGCGGCAGAGGGGGAUGGAAUUCCGCGUGUAGCAGUGAAAUGCGUAGAUAUGCGGAGGAACACCGAUGGCGAAGGCAAUCCCCUGGGCCUGCACUGACGCUCAUGCACGAAAGCGUGGGGAGCAAACAGGAUUAGAUACCCGGGUAGUCC